GUUGUAGGAAAGAUUGGAUUGGGAAAUGCUUUGAGGAAGUAGCCAUUCUAUAAUACCAGGGUGUUCAAUUCUGAAUAUACGUUGUUGUGGUUGACAAGGUUUUGCUGAUGUGGUGUUGACCUGUGUUGUUGUGUGUUGACUCUCGCAAUGGUGGUGUAGCUGGAAACAGUGGGUCUCUCCCAUAUGAAGCUGAAGGUGCUUUCGAUGGUAGUGUAACUUGUGAUGGUGGUGUAACUGGGUUUUGUGGUUUUGAUAUCUUGGGUGGUGGUGGUUGUGGUGGCAGGGAUCGAUUGUCGUUCUUUGGAAGAGUAGGGCACAAAUUGGAAAUCUUGUUAUUUAAUGAAGUAACAUCAGCAAUGAUUUCACCAUGUGUUCCUAACUGGAUG
Paramuricea clavata is the source of this 386-nucleotide non-coding RNA. Lineage: Eukaryota; Metazoa; Cnidaria; Anthozoa; Malacalcyonacea; Plexauridae. The record is from the annotation of a GenBank genome assembly.